AACAGGAUUAGAUACCCUGGUAGUCCAUGCCGUAAACGGUGGGCGCUAGGUGUGAGUCCCUUCCACGGGGUUCGUGCCGUAGCUAACGCAUUAAGCGCCCCGCCUGGGGAGUACGGCCGCAAGGCUAAAACUCAAAGGAAUUGACGGGGGCCCGCACAAGCGGCGGAGCAUGUGGAUUAAUUCGAUGCAACGCGAAGAACCUUACCUGGGCUUGACAUACACCGGAUCGGGCUAGAGAUAGUCUUUCCCUUGUGGCUGGUGUACAGGUGGUGCAUGGUUGUCGUCAGCUCGUGUCGUGAGAUGUUGGGUUAAGUCCCGCAACGAGCGCAACCCUUGUCUUAUGUUGCCAGCACGUGAUGGUGGGGACUCAUGAGAGACUGCCGGGGUUAACUCGGAGGAAGGUGGGGAUGACGUCAAAUCAUCAUGCCCCUUAUGUCCAGGGCUUCACACAUGCUACAAUGGUCGGUACAACGCGUGUGCGACACUGUGAGGUGAAGCUAAUCGCUCUAAAGCCGGUCGUAGUUCGGAUUGGGGUCUGCAACUCGACCCCAUGAAGUCGGAGUCGCUAGUAAUCGCAGAUCAGCAACGCUGCGGUGAAUACGUUCCCGGGCCUUGUACACACCGCCCGUCACGUCAUGAAAGUUGGUAACACCCGAAGCCAGUGGCCUAAACUUGUUAGGGAGCUGUCGAAGGUGGGAUCGGCGAUUGGGACGAAGUCGUAACAAGGUAACC
RNAcentral lists this ribosomal RNA (732 nucleotides) under uncultured bacterium. Its description in RNAcentral is "bacterial SSU rRNA". It matches the Rfam family "Bacterial small subunit ribosomal RNA", at positions 771 to 1501 of the family's 1533-position model. The record is from RNAcentral.